GAUGAACGCUGGCGGCGUGCCUAAUACAUGCAAGUCGAGCGAACGGACGAGAAGCUUGCUUCUCUGAUGUUAGCGGCGGACGGGUGAGUAACACGUGGAUAACCUAUCUAUAAGACUGGGAUAACUUCGGGAAACCGGAGCUAAUACCGGAUAAUAUUUUGAACCGCAUGGUUCAAAAGUGAAAGACGGUCUUGCUGUCACUUAUAGAUGGAUCCGCGCUGCAUUAGCUAGUUGGUAAGGUAACGGCUUACCAAGGCAACGAUGCAUAGCCGACCUGAGAGGGUGAUCGGCCACACUGGAACUGAGACACGGUCCAGACUCCUACGGGAGGCAGCAGUAGGGAAUCUUCCGCAAUGGGCGAAAGCCUGACGGAGCAACGCCGCGUGAGUGAUGAAGGUCUUCGGAUCGUAAAACUCUGUUAUUCGGGAAGAACAUAUGUGUAAGUAACUGUGCACAUCUUGACGGUACCUAAUCAGAAAGCCACGGCUAACUACGUG
RNAcentral lists this ribosomal RNA (497 nucleotides) under uncultured bacterium. Its description in RNAcentral is "partial 16S ribosomal RNA". It matches the Rfam family "Bacterial small subunit ribosomal RNA", at positions 28 to 507 of the family's 1533-position model. The record is from RNAcentral.